This 367-nucleotide ribosomal RNA is filed under the name uncultured bacterium. RNAcentral's name for it is "bacterial SSU rRNA". It matches the Rfam family "Bacterial small subunit ribosomal RNA", at positions 527 to 896 of the family's 1533-position model. The record is from RNAcentral.
GAAGGGACCUAGCGUAGUUCGGAAUUACUGGGCGUAAAGCGCGCGUAGGCCGUUGAGUUAGUUAAUUGUGAAAUCCCAAAGCUUAACUUUGGAACUGCAAUUAAAACUGCUCGACUAGAGUUUGAUAGAGGAAAGCGGAAUACAUAGUGUAGAGGUGAAAUUCGUAGAUAUUAUGUAGAACACCAGUUGCGAAGGCGGCUUUCUGGAUCAACACUGACGCUGAGGCGCGAAAGUAUGGGUAGCAAAGAGGAUUAGAUACCCUCGUAGUCCAUACCAUAAACGAUGAUUGCUAGAUGUUGGAAAUUUAUUUUCAGUAUCGCAGCUAACGCAUUAAGCAAUCCGCCUGGGGAGUACGACCGCAAGGUUA